AAAAAUCACACAUUUAAGCGAAAAUCACUUGUUUUCUCUUCGAAAAUCCCCCAUUUAACCCGAAAAUCACCCAUUUUCCCUUCAAAAAUCACCAAUUAUUUGGAAAAUCACGCAUUUUCUCCUCAAAAACCCCCCAUUUAAGGGUAAAUCAUGCAUUUUCUCGACAAAAAUCCUCCAUUUAACUAAAUAACUAUGCACUUAAGCGAAAAUCAAACAUUUUCUCUUUGAAAAUCCCCCAUUUAAGGGUAUAUCAAGCAUUUUAUUUCUGAAAAUCUGCCAUUUAAGGGUAAAUCAUGCAUUUUCUCUUCGAAAAUCCAACAUUUAGCUAAAAAAUCACGCAUUUAAGCGAAAAUCACCAGUUUUCUCUACGAAAAACCCACAUUUAACCCGAAAAACAUGCAUUUUCUCUUCAAAAUUCCCCCAUUUAAACCGAAAAUCAACCAUUUUCCCUUCAAAAAUCCCCAAUUAUUUGGAAAAUCACACAUUUUCUCCUCAAAAACCCCCCAUUUAAGGGUAAAUCAUGCAUUUUCUCCUCAAAAAUCCUCCAUUGAACUAAAUAACUAUGCACUUAAGCGAAAAUCAAACAUUUUCUCUUUGAAAAUCCCCCAUUUAAGGGUAUAUCAUGCAUUUUAUUUCUGAAAAUCUGCCAUUUAAGGGUAAAUCAUGCAUUUUCUCUUCGAAAAUCCAACAUUUAGCUAAAAAAUAACGCGUUUAAGCAAAAAUCACCCGUUCUCUCUUCAAAAAUCCCCCAUUUAACCCCAAAAUCACCCAUUUUCUCUUCGAAAAUCCGACAUUUAAGUGAAAAUCACCCCUUUUCUUUUCAAAAAUCCCCCAUUUAACCCAAACAUCACCCCUUUUCUCCUCGAAAAUCCCCCUUUUUACCCCAAAAUCACGCAUUUUCUCCUCAAAAAUCCCCCAUUUAAGGGUAAAUCGUGCAUUUUCUCUUCAAAAAUCCCCCAAUUAUCCCAAAAAAUCACACAUUUAAGCGAAAAUCACCCGUUCUCUCUUCGAAAAUCCCCCAUUUAACAAAAAAACAUCAUGCAUUUAAGCGAAAAUCAAACAUUUUCUCUUCGAAAAUGCCCCAUUUCAGCAAAAAACACGCAUUUUCUCCUCGAAAAUCCCCCAUUUAUCUCAAAAAUCACGCAUGUAAGCGAAAAUCCUUCAUUUUCUUUUCGAAAAUGCUCCCUUUAAGCAAAAUUCACCCAUUUUCCCUUCAAAAAUCCCAGAUUUAUCUCAAAAAUCACCCAUUUUCCCAACGAAAAUGCCCCAUUUAAGCAAAAAUCACCCAUUUUCUCUUCGAAAAUCCCACAUUUUCGUGAAAAUCAACCCUUUUCUCUUCAGAAAUCCCCCAUUUAAGUGAAAAUCACACAUUUUCUCUUCGAAAACCUCCCAUUUUACCCCAAAAUCACACAUUUUCUCCUCGAAAAUCCCCCAUUUAAGGGUAAAUCAUGCAUUUUCUCUUCGAAAAUCCAACAUUUAGCUAAAAAAUCACGCGUUUAAGCGAAAAUCACCCGUUCUCUCUUCAAAAAUCCACCAUUUAACUAGAAAAUCACCCAUUUUCUCUUCAAAAUUCCCACAUUUAACCCGAAAAUCACCCAUUUCCCCUUCAAAAAUCUCCAAUUAUUUGGACAAUCACACAUUUGCUCCUCAAAAACCCCCCAUUUAAGGGUAAAUCAUGCAUUUUCUCGACAAAAAUCCUCCAUUUAACUAAAUAACUAUGCACUUAAGCGAAAAUCAAACAUUUUCUCUUUGAAAAUCCCCCAUUUAAGGGUAUAUCAAGCAUUUUAUUUCUGAAAAUCUGCCAUUUAAGGGUAAAUCAUGCAUUUUCUCUUCGAAAAUCCAACAUUUAGCUAAAAAAUCACGCAUUUAAGCGAAAAUCACCAGUUUUCUCUACGAAAA
Long non-coding RNA from Gallus gallus (chicken), 1899 nucleotides. The record is from Ensembl. Lineage: Eukaryota; Metazoa; Chordata; Aves; Galliformes; Phasianidae.